ACUGUGUACAUAGCUGUAAGAGAU
Molecule: small nuclear RNA, 24 nt
Filed under: Arabidopsis thaliana (thale cress)
Lineage: Eukaryota; Viridiplantae; Streptophyta; Magnoliopsida; Brassicales; Brassicaceae
Description: snRNA_08651
Source: RNAcentral